CCUACGGGUGGCAGCAGUGGGGAAUUUUGCGCAAUGGGGGAAACCCUAACGCAGCAACGCCGCGUGCGGGACGAAGGCCCUCGGGCUGUAAACCGCUUUCAGCAGGGAAGACAUCGACGGUACCUGCAGAAGAAGCUCCGGCUAACUACGUGCCAGCAGCCGCGGUAAUACGUAGGGGGCGAGCGUUAUCCGGAUUCAUUGGGCGUAAAGCGCGCGUAGGCGGCCGCCUAAGCGGAACCUCUAACCCCGGGGCUAAACCUCGGGCCGGGUUCCGGACGGGGCGGCUCGAGUGCGGGAGAGGAGAGCGGAAUUCCCGGUGUAGCGGUGGAAUGCGCAGAGAUCGGGAAGAACACCGAUGGCGAAGGCAGCUCUCUGGGCCGUCACUGACGCUGAGGCGCGAAAGCUGGGGGAGCGAACAGGAUUAGAUACCCCGGUAGUC
This 439-nucleotide ribosomal RNA is filed under the name uncultured bacterium. RNAcentral's name for it is "partial 16S ribosomal RNA". It matches the Rfam family "Bacterial small subunit ribosomal RNA", at positions 338 to 795 of the family's 1533-position model. The record is from RNAcentral.